UACAGAGGGGGCAAGCGUUGUUCGGAAUUACUGGGCGUAAAGGGCGCGUAGGCGGCCUGCUAAGUCGAACGUGAAAUCCCUGGGCUCAACCCAGGAACUGCGUCCGAUACUGGUUGGCUUGAAUCCGGGAGAGGGAUGUGGAAUUCCAGGUGUAGCGGUGAAAUGCGUAGAUAUCUGGAGGAACACCGGUGGCGAAGGCGGCAUCCUGGACCGGCAUUGACGCUGAGGCGCGAAAGCGUGGGGAGCAAACGGG
This 253-nucleotide ribosomal RNA is filed under the name uncultured bacterium. RNAcentral describes it as "partial 16S ribosomal RNA". It matches the Rfam family "Bacterial small subunit ribosomal RNA", at positions 524 to 776 of the family's 1533-position model. The record is from RNAcentral.